UCCGGCUUUAGAACUCUGCGGUUUUGUGGAGCUCGAGAGUCCGGGACAAGGUAGACGCAGGAUAUUGACCUUUUUAUUUUUAACUGCAUUUUCAGUUUGGAGGUUGUAAAAUAGGUAUAACAUUUAAGAAAAAAAAUUGAAAGAUAUCUAUUGGAUGCUGAUGAUUAUGAAACAAAGUAGCAAAGAUAAGAAGCCAUUUGCUCAUUCUGCUCCUUUGCCAGCAAUAUUUCACAAAGCCCCUGACUCAUUGACUGUGAGCAGCCUUGUGGAAGAAUGCCUUGAAGACCAUAAGCAGGAUAGGGAAUAGGUUUGCACAUCUCUUGCCUGAAUCACUGAAUUUUUACAAAAGAAAAGGUUCAAUUAAGUGGUUGAAAAGCUUCAGGAAGAAAUUUAAGCUAAAUUGAAAUGAGGGAGUAACAUCAGCAAGAUAAUGAAAUGGAGGAUCCCCUACUAUCACUCCCUCCAUAAAAAUACAACUAGAAACUACUUAAAGACAAGAACACAACCCUGAGUUCACCACAAUUCAAGGGAGAAUUGAAGAAACCUCCGGGGCCCUCAGAAUUGAGAGAAGCUGUGACAGGUAUGAAAAAUGGCUGUUUCAGACAUUGCAGCCCCCUCCAUCAAGCUGGCAUAAUGUCGCUCAUAGAGAAUUUUCCUAGACUCAUGGUUUCUAAGGUAAGAAGAGGGAGUUGGAAGUGGACAUACGAUCUCCCCACCAGUCUGGGAAUCUUCUCAGGAAGCCCACUUCUGCCCCAUCCCAUGGGAACAAUUGGGAGUGUCAGAAGGGCUGACCAACCUUGGAUGAAAUGAGACAAAGAGUGGGACACUGAUCAUAGUGACUGGCACGUGGAUCUUGGCAGUUAACUCUUCACUCCAAUCAGUAUGGACACCACAUUGAAGAGACUGGCUGGCACCAUAGUGCUAUAGGGGACACAGUCUGUGAGAAGGCCUGAAUCCCUGGACAGAUUUCAACAAAGACUAGGUGUUCCCAUGGAGCCUCCACUGGACCAGAAACAACUAGAAACGUUGGGAUUGAGUUCCAGUGACUGCUUAAGUCUUCCACAAACUGGGAGACAGUGGCAGGGCAGCCACAUAGCUCCAGAGCAUUGUUAACUUAGUACUCACAAUAAGUUUUCCCCACACUGGGAAAUAGUGGCAGGGCAAAAGUUAGUUCCAGUGCAGUGAUUUAGUUCUGGUACUCACUAUAAAUUCUCCCAAAAAAAAAAAAAAAAAAAAGAAUAUCAGCAGUUAAGUUCUGAUACUAAGUAGUAAAGGUCAAACACCACCAAAGAAUACCUGCAAGUAAUGGAAGAGGUAGCUAUCUCCUAAAAUGUGCAGGUAUUAAGGCAAACCCACAAGAAUUGUAAAAACCCAGGGAAAUAUGACCUUACCAAAAGAAAUCAACAAAGCUCCAGCAAUGGAGCUAGAAGAAGUGAAGACCUAGGAAAUGUUAAACAGACAAUUCAAAAUAAUCCUCUUAAACAAAUUUAGAGAAUCAUAAGAAAAUAUGGAUAGAAAAAAAAUAAAAUUUGGAAAGUAACCCAGGAACAAAAUGAGAUAUUUGACAAAGAAAUAAAAGAAAUAAGAAAUAAAAACAAACAAAUCCAUUAUUUCUAGGGUUUCUAGAAAUAAAGAAACCGUAACUAAACUGACACAAUAACUAAACUGAAAAACUCAUUGGAAAGCUUCAACAUCAGACUUGAUUAGAGAAAAGAAUUAGCAAGUUUGAAGACAGCACAUAUGAAAUUACCUAAUCAGAGGAGAAAAAAAGAAAAAAGAAUUUAAAAGCAUAAAAAAGAACUUUUUAAGAAUUAUGGCACAUGAUCAAGCAAACUAACCUCUGCAUAGUAGGAAUUCCCAAAGGAGGCAAGAGAGAAAAAGGCCUAGAAGACAUAUUUAACAAAACAAUGGUGAAAAUUUCCCAAAGAUGGAGAAAGAGGACACCAUUCAGAUACAGGAAUCUUGGAGGUCAUCAAUCAAAUUAAACCCAAAGAGGAAAUCCCUAAGGCAUAUCACAAUCAAAUUAGCAAAAAUCAGAGACAACAAAAAUACUCAGUGCAGCAAAAGAAAAGAAAAAUAUUACAUUAAACAAAGCACCAAUACAGCUUUCACUGGAUUUCACAGCAGAAAUCCUACAGGCCAGGUGAGAAUGGGAAGCUUGAAAGUGCUGAAAGAAAAAAAAAAACUGUCAACCAAGAAUAAUGUGCCCAGCAAAGCUAUUAAAACAAGAAGAGAGAUAAAGACUUUCUCAGACAAACAAAAACUGAGGGAAUUUGUCAGCACCAGACCUGUGUUACAAGACAUGCUAAAGAGAGUUCUUCAAUCUGAAAGAAAUGGAUGCUAAUGUGUAACAAGAAACAAUCUGCAGGUAUGAAACUCAUUGGUAAAAGAAAGAAAACAGACCAAUUCAGAACACAUCAAUAGUGAAAUUAGGGUAAGUAAAUGACCUAUAUCUUAAAUAUGAAGAUUAAAAGACAAAACCACUAAAAACAAUAACUACAAUUUAUUAAGAGAUGCACAAUGUAAAAAAAGUAAAUUGAAACACAAAAAAGUCAAAAUGUGGUGAGAGGAUGUUAUUAAAGUGUAGAGUUUGUUGUUUCUUAUCUUUUCUUUGCAAUAAAAUAUAAGUCACUAUCAGUUUAAAAUAACUUAUUAUAAAUAUAAGAGGGUUUUUGUAAGCCUCACGUUAACCAUAAAGCAAAAACCUACAAUAGAUAUAUAAAAAUAAAUAGCAUGAAAUAAAAACGUACUACCAGAGGAAAUCACUUAACCACAAAGGAAGAGAGUGAGAGAGGAAAAGGGAAGAAUUCACAAAACAACAAGAAGUCAAGUAACAAAAUGGCAGUAGUAAACCCUUACUGUGAAUAAUAACUUUGAAUGUAAAUGGAUCAAAUUGUCCAACCAAAAGACAUAGAGUGGCUGAAUGGAUUUAAAAAACAAGAUCCAACUGUAUGCUAUCUACAAGUACUUCACUUAAUCUAUGAAGACAUUCACAGACUAAAAGUGAAGGAAUGAAAAAAGAUAUUUCAUGCAAAUAGAAACCAAAAAGGAACAGGGAUAGGUUUACUAAUAUCAGAUAAACUAGACUUGAAGCCAAGAGUCAUUUUUAAAAUGACAAAAAAGAAAGCCAUUAUAUAAUGAUAUAGGGGACAGUACAGCAAGAAUACAUAACAAUUGUAAAUAUAUAUGCACCCAAUACUGGAACACACAAAUAUGUAAAAAAGUUAAUAGACUUAAAGGGAGAGAUUGACUACAAUAAAUAGUACUAGGAGAUUUCAACACCCCAUUUUCAGUGAUGGCCAGAUCACUCAGACAGAAAAGUAACAAAGAAACAUUGGAGUUAAAAUGAACUCUAGACCAAAGGAACAUAACAGAUAUUUUAUGUUAUGUUAUAUUUUAUUUUAUUUUAUGUUACAGAUAUUACAGAACAUUCCAUCCAACAGCUGCAGAAUACACAUUUUUCUCAACAGCACAUAGAAGAUUAUCCAGGAUAGAUCAUAUGUUAGGUCCCAAAACAAGUCUUGACACAUUCUUUAAAAAUCCAAAUCAUAUCAAGUGCAUUUCUUACCACAAUUAUUCCAAUUAUUCUACCAUUCUGGAAUAAAACUAGAAACCAGUUUUAAAAAAAGGAACACUGGAAAUUGUACAAACUCAUGGAAAUGAAACAACAUACUCCUGAACACUGAAUGGGUCAACGAAGAAAUUAAAAAGGAAAUUUAAAAUUAUCUUCAGACAAAUGAAAAUGGAAACAUGACAUACUAAAGCCUAUGUAAUAUAUCAAAGCAGUUCUAAGAGCAGUUCUGUAGCAAUAAAUGCCUACAUCAAAAAAGUAGAAAGACUUCAAAUAAACAACCUAAAGAUCACCUCAAGGAACUAGACAAGCAAAAACAAACAACACUCAUAAUUCAGAUAAAGUAUCUAUCUGAACAAUACAAAAGAUUGAAGUAGCAAAAAUUGCAUUUUUGAAAUAAUAAAUGAAAUUAACAAAACUUUAGCUAGACCAAAGAAAAGAGAGAGG
RNAcentral lists this long non-coding RNA (4018 nucleotides) under Homo sapiens (human). RNAcentral describes it as "HSALNT0293284". The record is from RNAcentral. Lineage: Eukaryota; Metazoa; Chordata; Mammalia; Primates; Hominidae.